GACGAACGCUGGCGGCGUGCUUAACACAUGCAAGUCGAACGGAAAGGCCCUGCUUUUGUGGGGUGCUCGAGUGGCGAACGGGUGAGUAACACGUGAGUAACCUGCCCUUGACUUGGGGAUAACUUCAGGAAACUGGGGCUAAUACCGUAUAGGAGCUCCUGCUGCAGGGUGGGGGUUGGAAAGUUUCGGCGGUUGGGGAUGGACUCGCGGCUUAUCAGCUUGUUGGUGGGGUAGUGGCUUACCAAGGCUUUGACGGGUAGCCGGCCUGAGAGGGUGACCGGCCACAUUGGGACUGAGAUACGGCCCAGACUCCUACGGGAGGCAGCAGUGGGGAAUAUUGCACAAUGGGCGGAAGCCUGAUGCAGCAACGCCGCGUGCGGGAUGACGGCCUUCGGGUUGUAAACCGCUUUCGCCUGUGACGAAGCGUGAGUGACGGUAAUGGGUAAAGAAGCACCGGCUAACUACGUG
Molecule: ribosomal RNA, 468 nt
Filed under: uncultured bacterium
Lineage: Bacteria
Description: partial 16S ribosomal RNA
Rfam family: Bacterial small subunit ribosomal RNA
Source: RNAcentral